This 201-nucleotide ribosomal RNA is filed under the name uncultured bacterium. Its description in RNAcentral is "partial 16S ribosomal RNA". It matches the Rfam family "Bacterial small subunit ribosomal RNA", at positions 524 to 723 of the family's 1533-position model. The record is from RNAcentral.
UACGAAGGGGGCUAGCGUUGCUCGGAAUCACUGGGCGUAAAGCGCACGUAGGCGGACUCUUAAGUCGGUGGUGAAAUCCUGGAGCUCAACUCCAGAACUGCCUUCGAUACUGAGAGUCUUGAGUCCGGGAGAGGUGAGUGGAACUGCGAGUGUAGAGGUGAAAUUCGUAGAUAUUCGCAAGAACACCAGUAGGCGAAGGCG